Molecule: ribosomal RNA, 181 nt
Filed under: uncultured Glomus
Lineage: Eukaryota; Fungi; Glomeromycota; Glomeromycetes; Glomerales; Glomeraceae
Description: partial 18S ribosomal RNA
Rfam family: Eukaryotic small subunit ribosomal RNA
Source: RNAcentral
AGCAGCCGCGGUAAUUCCAGCUCCAAUAGCGUAUAUUAAAGUUGUUGCAGUUAAAAAAGCUCGUAGUUGAAUUUCGGGGUCAGUAGAUUGGUCAUCGCCUCCGGUAUGCACUGGUCUUACUGGCUCCUCCUUCCUGAUGAACCGUAAUGCCAUUAAUUUGGUGUUGCGGGGAGACUGGACU